CCGAGUUUACAACUCCCAAACCCACUGUGAACAUACCUCUAGUUGCUUCGGCGGGAUCGCCCCGGCGCGCCCUUAGGGGCUUGCCCGGAAUCAGGCGCCCGCCGGAGGCCCCCCAAACUCAUGUUUUCGCCGCCCCGUGCGGUUCGUAUCUUCUGAGUGGCAAACGCAAAAAAAUAAAUCA
This 181-nucleotide unclassified non-coding RNA is filed under the name uncultured Hypocreales. Its description in RNAcentral is "sequence contains ITS1". The record is from RNAcentral. Lineage: Eukaryota; Fungi; Ascomycota; Sordariomycetes; Hypocreales.